GAUGAAGAACGCAGCGAAAUGCGAUAAGUAAUGUGAAUUGCAGAAUUCAGUGAAUCAUCGAAUCUUUGAACGCACAUUGCGCCCCCUGGUAUUCCGGGGGGCAUGCCUGUUCGUGCGUCAUUUCAACCCUCAAGCUCUGCUUGGUAUUGAGUCCAUGUCAGCAAUGGCAGGCUCCAAAAUCAGUGGCGGCGCCGCUGGGUCCUGAACGUAGUAAUAUCUCUCGUUACAGGUGCUCGGCGUGCUUCUGCCAAAACCCCAAUUUUUCUAUGGUUGACCUCGGAUCAGGUAGGGAUACCCGCUGAACUUAAGCAUAUCAAUAAGCGGAGGA
Molecule: unclassified non-coding RNA, 328 nt
Filed under: soil metagenome
Description: partial contains 5.8S ribosomal RNA, internal transcribed spacer 2, and large subunit ribosomal RNA
Rfam family: 5.8S ribosomal RNA (bases 1-120)
Source: RNAcentral